RNAcentral lists this ribosomal RNA (253 nucleotides) under uncultured bacterium. Its description in RNAcentral is "partial 16S ribosomal RNA". It matches the Rfam family "Bacterial small subunit ribosomal RNA", at positions 524 to 776 of the family's 1533-position model. The record is from RNAcentral.
UACGUAGGGGGCAAGCGUUGUCCGGAAUCAUUGGGCGUAAAGAGCGCGUAGGCGGUCCAGUAAGUCCGCUCUGAAAGUCCGGGGCUCAACCCCGGGAGGCGGGCGGAUACUGCUGGGCUAGAGUCCGGAAGAGGCGAGUGGAAUUCCUGGUGUAGCGGUGAAAUGCGCAGAUAUCGGGAAGAACACCCGUGGCGAAGGCGGCUCUCUGGGACGGUACUGACGCUGAGACGCGAAAGCGUGGGGAGCGAACAGG